Molecule: long non-coding RNA, 2304 nt
Filed under: Homo sapiens (human)
Lineage: Eukaryota; Metazoa; Chordata; Mammalia; Primates; Hominidae
Description: HSALNT0178801
Source: RNAcentral
GCGGCUGGAACUUGGCCUGGAACGCGGUCUUCUCGGCUCCAGUUUCCCGCCCAGGCCCCGCCCACCCGGCCGCCCCGCUGGUUCGCACCGCUGCUCCGGCCACCGAGGAGCCCAAAGUUGGCGGCGUCCCGCGGACUCCGGCGGAGAGCGCGAGGGAGUCGCGGCCGACUCCUGUACCACGAAGACAACUGGAGGCCGGCGGGGGAGGCGGGCCACGAGGGGCUGGGGCGAGGGAGCUGGGAUGCGCGGGCCCGGCUCGCCGGGAAACAGGUUGCCGCGGAGUCCCGUCCCCUCCCCCUCUGCGGUCCCCGCCGCGACCUGAUUCCCGCCCUGCCCGGGGAGCUAACCCAGCCGCCUCCGGGGCGCCCUCCUUCUUCCUGGAUUCCCACGGCUGGACCAGAGCCCCUCUGGCAGCCGGGUUAAAGGCUCCUUCAGCAAGGUCAAGGCGCGGCCGGCUGGCACCUGGGGAUUUUUUUCCAGCCGAGCACUGGCUUUUCAAUCGCAUUGUUAAGGAUCAUGGCAGCGGCAGGAAAUCCGAAGGGCCCCACAGCCCAUCAACGUGAUACACAGGCUGCGGCGCUGGAGGGAAGCGGCGAAACGGGGAGAAUAAACGCAACAGAAGCAAACUGCUGUCUGCAGAGGCGAGAGGCGAAGGAACGGAAGCCAUACCCGACCCCAGCCCCAUCCCGUCCCCAUCAGCGCCGGGCUAGCGCAGGAAACCAGGAAUAGGUGUAGGUAAGGGUGGCAGCCCGGCAGAGCCAGCGUUCUACUCCCUCUAACCCCUCGCCAGCGUGGGCCUGGAUGGCUGGGCUGCCUGGGCAUCUCCAAGGGGGACCAGGCACCGCGGGCAGGUUUCUAAACACGUGAAGGGCACAGGGCUUGAAAGACAAGGAGGGGCGCCCAGGAAGGGCGGAAAAGAGGGGCUUUGGGGCUCCCCAGGACACCAAGUCAGUUUCUGAAAACGGCGUUCCCUGGAAGGCCUUCCAACACCUCCGAGGGAAGACUUGGAGCUCUGAAGACCCAAUGAAACCUCAGUUCUGACUGACUCCUCCUCUGCGAUCAAUUCCGGAUGCCCCCACUUAGUCCCUGCCUCGGUAACCGGUUCUUUGGGGACAGCAGCAUCAGCACCCGACGCCCAUCGCACAAGUGGGCGCCGUGGUGCGAGGCGUAUCCUAGCUACCCAGGCCGGGGUGGGGGCGCCCCGGUACUUACACUCCCCAAGCAGGCAAACUUUCAGGCUUGUCUUUCGAGAACCGGGAGCUCGCAUCACAGUUCCGGGUAAUCACCGAGGCAGCUUAUGUAAUUGCCCGCGAUGCCGCUCAGCAGAUCUCUCUCCUUACUCGGCCUCAGAGCUCAGUACAUGGGCACCCUCUUCCCCCCACCCCCCACCCCGGCGAUUGGAAUCCCGAGCUUGCCCCACCACCGCCUUCUACAAAGCAGCGGGGUGAUCUCGUGUGCUACAAACACCAAGCCAGUAUGCAGGUUCAGGCAAAACUCUGGCUGCCUCCCUGCGCCCCUUUCACUGCGUCGAUGGUUUACAGAUAACUGCAUUUCUAUAAACCCUCUCUCCACGGUUAGGGGGUGGGAGGGAGUUAGAGAUCGGGUGGGGGCUUGGCGCGGUACUGUUGAGGGCUCUGCACCCAACUGAGCAGUAAUACACUCAUCCACAUGGACGCGGGUGCAUAAAUCGCCUUAACAUUUUGCCCUGAAAGCGGAGCCAAUUUCCAAAGUUAAGGACCACGCAGCUGAAUUUCCAGUACUUUCCAACCUCGCCUAGGCGGGGGCAGGCAGAGAAGGGGCGGGCAGCGGGCAGCUAACUCGCCCGACCCCCCCGCCAAGAAGGACUCACUAGGUGAACCCCCCGCCCUUCACCCAAGUAGUUGGUUGUGUAUUCCUCGGUUGCGUGUGUGUGUCCACACACACACACACACACACACACACACGCCGCCCCACUACCUUCCAGUCUGCUCCUCCAAUGUAACGACCGCAUUUAAAAAUGGCAAUUAAAAUGACUGAGGAGCUCGGUGAUCACAUUUCAACCCAGAGCACAUUUCCCGAAGCUGGGGGUGAGAGUAGUCAUACAGUCACACUCACACCCGGGAGCCCUCCAAGCGUCCAUCUGGCGGCUGCAGCCUCAGUUGGCUCCUAGACGAACAUCAAUACCGCGGCCGGGCGCCCGGUGAGGAGAGGCGGGCGCCCCGCGGGUUGCAGAGGGCGAGGAGCUGGGGUCGCAUCUCCAGGAUCUGAGCUCCAACCACCGCCCGUGCGGGGCUGCUGCAGCCGGCACUUGCCCCGCAGGGCAGG